UACGAAGGGGGCUAGCGUUGUUCGGAAUCACUGGGCGUAAAGGGCGCGUAGGCGGCUAUUCAAGUCGGGGGUGAAAGCCUGUGGCUCAACCACAGAAUUGCCUUCGAUACUGUUUGGCUUGAGACCGGAAGAGGUAAGUGGAACUGCGAGUGUAGAGGUGAAAUUCGUAGAUAUUCGCAAGAACACCAGUGGCGAAGGCGGCUUACUGGUCCGGUUCUGACGCUGAGGCGCGAAAGCUAGGGGAGCAAACGGG
Molecule: ribosomal RNA, 253 nt
Filed under: uncultured bacterium
Lineage: Bacteria
Description: partial 16S ribosomal RNA
Rfam family: Bacterial small subunit ribosomal RNA
Source: RNAcentral